This 325-nucleotide ribosomal RNA is filed under the name uncultured eukaryote. RNAcentral describes it as "partial 18S ribosomal RNA". It matches the Rfam family "Eukaryotic small subunit ribosomal RNA", at positions 1470 to 1796 of the family's 1831-position model. The record is from RNAcentral.
CCCUUAGAUGUUCUGGGCCGCACGCGUGCUACACUGACCGGUGCAACAAGUUUCUUUCCUUGGCUCGAUAGGCCUGGGUAAUCUUUGAACACCGGUCGUGAUGGGGAUAGAUCCUUGCAAUUUUUGAUCUUCAACGAGGAAUUCCUAGUAAAUGCGAGUCAUCAUCUCGCGUUGAUUACGUCCCUGCCCUUUGUACACACCGCCCGUCGCACCUACCGAUUGAAUGGUCCGGUGAAAUCUCCGGACUGGCGUGAGUCGGAGCAAUCUGACAAACACCGGAAAGUUGAUUAAACCUUACCAUUUAGAGGAAGGUGAAGUCGUAACA